GCCUUGGUGGCACAACGGUUAAGCACUUAGCUGCUAACCAAAAAAUCGGUGGUUCGAACCCAUCCAGUGGCU
Molecule: transfer RNA, 72 nt
Filed under: Loxodonta africana (African savanna elephant)
Lineage: Eukaryota; Metazoa; Chordata; Mammalia; Proboscidea; Elephantidae
Rfam family: tRNA
About the family: Transfer RNA (tRNA) molecules are approximately 80 nucleotides in length. Their secondary structure includes four short double-helical elements and three loops (D, anti-codon, and T loops).
Source: Rfam by way of RNAcentral